This 150-nucleotide non-coding RNA is filed under the name Pseudomonas sp. 8AS. Its description in RNAcentral is "SAH (S-adenosyl-L-homocysteine) riboswitch aptamer". It matches the Rfam family "SAH (S-adenosyl-L-homocysteine) riboswitch aptamer". The record is from Rfam by way of RNAcentral. Lineage: Bacteria; Pseudomonadati; Pseudomonadota; Gammaproteobacteria; Pseudomonadales; Pseudomonadaceae.
CCAUCCGAGGGGCGCUGCAGCAGGCUGCAAAUCUGUUUUGACCCCCAAGCCCGGCAUUCCAGCCUGGCACCGUGGCGGAUUCGAAUCAGGCUUGCGCCUGUCAGGCUCGGAUGGGGCGUUAACCAUACGCAUCAACGGCGCCCAUUCGCA